RNAcentral lists this ribosomal RNA (468 nucleotides) under uncultured bacterium. RNAcentral's name for it is "partial 16S ribosomal RNA". It matches the Rfam family "Bacterial small subunit ribosomal RNA", at positions 28 to 507 of the family's 1533-position model. The record is from RNAcentral.
GACGAACGCUGGCGGCGUGCUUAACACAUGCAAGUCGAACGGAAAGGCCCUGCUUUUGUGGGGUGCUCGAGUGGCGAACGGGUGAGUAACACGUGAGUAACCUGCCCUUGACUUUGGGAUAACUUCAGGAAACUGGGGCUAAUACCGGAUAGGAGCUCCUGCUGCAUGGUGGGGGUUGGAAAGUUUCGGCGGUUGGGGAUGGACUCGCGGCUUAUCAGCUUGUUGGUGGGGUAGUGGCUUACCAAGGCUUUGACGGGUAGCCGGCCUGAGAGGGUGACCGGCCACAUUGGGCCUGAGAUACGGCCCAGACUCCUACGGUAGGCAGCAGUGGGGAAUAUUGCGCAAUGGGCGGAAGCCUGAUGCAGCGACGCCGCGUGCGGGAUGACGGCCUUCGGGUUGUAAACCGCUUUCGCCUGUGACGAAGCGUGAGUGACGGUAAUGGGUAAAGAAGCACCGGCUAACUACGUG